Molecule: ribosomal RNA, 484 nt
Filed under: uncultured bacterium
Lineage: Bacteria
Description: partial 16S ribosomal RNA
Rfam family: Bacterial small subunit ribosomal RNA
Source: RNAcentral
AUUGAACGCUGGCAGAAUGCUUUACACAUGCAAGUCGAACGGCAGCACGGGGGCAACCCUGGUGGCGAGUGGCGAACGGGUGAGUAAUACAUCGGAACGUGCCCGGUCGUGGGGGAUAACGUAGCGAAAGUUACGCUAAUACCGCAUACGAUCUGAGGAUGAAAGCGGGGGACCUUCGGGCCUCGCGCGAUCGGAGCGGCCGAUGUCAGAUUAGGUAGUUGGUGGGGUAAAGGCCUACCAAGCCGACGAUCUGUAGCUGGUCUGAGAGGACGACCAGCCACACUGGGACUGAGACACGGCCCAGACUCCUACGGGAGGCAGCAGUGGGGAAUUUUGGACAAUGGGCGCAAGCCUGAUCCAGCCAUUCCGCGUGCAGGACGAAGGCCUUCGGGUUGUAAACUGCUUUUGUAUGGAACGAAAAGGCUCUGGCUAAUACCUGGGGCUCAUGACGGUACCGUAAGAAUAAGCACCGGCUAACUACGUG